AUGACCCCUUUCCUCCUCGCAAGGCCUUCCCGACCCACCUCUCCCAGCCCAGCUCCCCGCCCCGGGCGCCUACCGCCCGCCCUCCCCUCACACGGCGGCUCCCACCGCCCCGCCACCGUCCGGGCACGGCUCCCUCCUGGCCCCACAGGCCUCUCCGCAGGUCUCCCCUUCGCGCCUGCCCCCGCCGCUGCCCCACGCACCCUGUCCCGGCGGAUCCCACCUCCCCGCCGCCGUCACCACCCACCAUCGCGGCCCGGCCAGGCCGCCUCGCCCCAGGCCGCUGCUGCCGCCCCCCCCCCCCCCCCCCCCCCCCCCCCCCCCCCCGGCCGGCGCGGUUCCGCAGGCGAGCCCGGGGCUGGGCAGGCCGCGGCCGCCCGGCUCCGCGGAGCGAGGCCGCCUCCCCCUUUACCGUCCGUCGGGGGGCUCGGGCCGGGCUGGGCCAUGGCUCCGGCGGGCGGGCGGCGCCGCCGCGGCCUCCUCCGCCUCCAGCCGCGGCGUCGGAGCGGGAACCGCUACGCCAGGGGGCCCCGGCGAGAGACGGGAGCUGCCGGCCUGGGCCUCCGCCUCCUCCGCCUCAUCCUGACAGCGGCCGCCGGCGGCAGGAGGAGGAGGAGGAGGAGGAGGAGGAGCGCCGCGCAGGCGCCCACGGUGAAGCCCAGGGAAACAAGUUGCACACAUCUUUAGGGAGAGACUCAGCUGCUCAGGACAGCAAGCCUUGGGUUCAUUCAAAAAAACUGUCUUUGGAGAUACUUAGAGGAACAUGAUACCCAAGAAGACUGAGCAGUCUGUGUAAACAAUGGACCAGGCAGCUGAAGAGAUUCUAUAGGAUUUCAGAGGAUCACGAAAUCUUUGCAAAUCCUUCAGCUGAACAAGCCCACCCUUCUGAACAGUUUAAUCCAAGUAGGAUUGCUGGAAGGUCCAGAAGUGUAGCUCGAGGCCUUACUCCAGGUGGGACUCUUCAAUGACUCUUGAGCCUUUUCUGGUGCUCUGCCUAUGCCUGUAUGUCCAGAGGUGGACCAGCUCCAAUAUUUGUUAAUACAAGCUUAAAUCCCACACCUUAUGUCAGUGGGAUCUUAGGUCAGCUCACCCAGCUAGUCCGACUGUUUCUCAUCAAUGCCAUCCCAUCCUUAUGAAGCCUUCAAUUCCCUGUUUUCCCUGAUUUCUCCUAGGUGUUACAGUGGUCUCUCUGUUUGCUGCGUUUUUUUUACUGGAGUGCCUUUUCCAGAGCUAUGUCCCU
Molecule: long non-coding RNA, 1237 nt
Filed under: Accipiter nisus (Eurasian sparrowhawk)
Lineage: Eukaryota; Metazoa; Chordata; Aves; Accipitriformes; Accipitridae
Description: lncRNA (ENSANIG00000015923.1)
Source: RNAcentral